This is a long non-coding RNA of Lotus japonicus, 498 nucleotides long. RefSeq lists it as uncharacterized. Lineage: Eukaryota; Viridiplantae; Streptophyta; Magnoliopsida; Fabales; Fabaceae. The record is from RefSeq and is a predicted model, not a curated record. The transcript is spliced from 2 exons.
GCAACUAUCAAGAAGUAUAUCAUGAGCAAAGUCAACUGAUAGAAAGGGAGAGAGUGCUUCAAGAAGAACGUGAUUUAGGAUGCUUCUCGGAGUACAGGAGUGUGUGCUUGCCAAUCAAAGGUCGAUUUAAUUAACAAGAACCAUAUGGAAGACUGAUGGUUGAACUUAAUGUCCUUAGGGUGUGGAAAAAUAUACAAAUGCAAUCUCGAUCACACACCAGUAGCACUAAAGAUUCUGUAUGAGGAGUUUCUAAAGAGGAUUUUCUUAAGUUUUUUUUUCUCUUCUUGCUGAAUUUUUUAUGAGAUUUAGUCUAUGAGACCUACUGAACCCAAAAAUGGUUCUUUGUUUUUUCUUCCCUUCUUAUACCUUAUGUAAUUUGCAGAUCAGGGUCCAUUGUCUUUCAAAGGAAUCCCUUAUUAAGUGGCUCCUGAGGUUCUAAUUUUUUAGGAUCGCUUCUUUAUAUUUUACCAUGUGGUGUUCAUAUGGUUAUUCCAUUCA